This 411-nucleotide long non-coding RNA is filed under the name Amborella trichopoda. RNAcentral describes it as "long non-coding RNA (ATRI_LNC002154)". The record is from RNAcentral. Lineage: Eukaryota; Viridiplantae; Streptophyta; Magnoliopsida; Amborellales; Amborellaceae.
CUAAUUUUACCAAAACACAGUUUUUGUUCUCUCCAUCAAGGAACCUCUGCUUUCUGCUCUCGCCAUCAAAUUGUUAGUCCCAAUAAUAAUAAUAAUAAAUAAACAAAAUUGAAAACAACUUACUCGGAUAUGUCCUUAAAUCACACCAGUGACUAAGGUUCUAUACUAAAACCUAUAAACCAAGCCAUCUAGUGACAAAUUACCUUGAGAGUUCUCUUGGUGAAUCUCCUUCACCUUCCAUUACUAUUUUUCUAUCAUUUUCUCUUUCUUUUCUAGAGGGGUUAACCUCAUUUUAUAAAGAACACAUUUAUUUUGUAACUCUCACAUUCAUAGUCUAUAGGAGUUGAGAUCCAAUUGUAACUCAUGCCUUAAUUUCUUUAAAUGCAGCUAAUUAGGAUUAACAAAUUGUUG